This 371-nucleotide ribosomal RNA is filed under the name uncultured bacterium. Its description in RNAcentral is "bacterial SSU rRNA". It matches the Rfam family "Bacterial small subunit ribosomal RNA", at positions 527 to 896 of the family's 1533-position model. The record is from RNAcentral.
GUAGGUGACAAGCGUUGUCCGGAUUUACUGGGUGUAAAGGGCGCGUAGGCGGACUGUCAAGUCAGUCGUGAAAUACCGGGGCUUAACCCCGGGGCUGCGAUUGAAACUGACAGCCUUGAGUAUCGGAGAGGAAAGCGGAAUACCUAGUGUAGCGGUGAAAUGCGUAGAUAUUAGGAGGAACACCAGUGGCGAAGGCGGCUUUCUGGACGACAACUGACGCUGAGGCGCGAAAGUGUGGGGAGCAAACAGGAUUAGAUACCCUGGUAGUCCACACCGUAAACGAUGGAUACUAGGUGUAGGAGGUAUCGACCCCUUCUGUGCCGCAGUUAACACAAUAAGUAUCCCACCUGGGGAGUACGACCGCAAGGUUG